Molecule: long non-coding RNA, 1727 nt
Organism: Cyprinus carpio carpio
Lineage: Eukaryota; Metazoa; Chordata; Actinopteri; Cypriniformes; Cyprinidae
Source: Ensembl
CUGUUUCAGAUAAACAAAACCAUAAUAUCUUUACAGACAUUGUUCAUUAAAACCGUCAUAUCUCAUGCAGGAGUAGCAUGUUUUUGACAGUUUUCUGACGAGUGCAUCUAUGAAUUACGGUCGGUCACCCCCUAGCGUCUCUCUUCCCCGCGAAUUUACGGUGACAAGGGUCGGAGCGACCCUUGCUCAGCUUCCCACCUAUUGAACAAGUUCAUUCAUAGAACAAGGAUGACACCCAGCGGUCACUCAACACCGAUUUCCUUCACGGACACCUUUAUAAAUUUGACGCGUUCAAACGAUCACUUGAACCAGAAAACUUUCUCGGACGGCUCUCCAAGACAAUGGAUAAAAGUGAGUAUUUUAUCAUGUCAUGUUAUCUGAUGGUAGUGAUAUUUAAAUACUAUUAAUUGAUCAAAGUAUGUUAUGCUAUUUUUACAGUCUACGAUGUUAUAGCGUUUUUUUAAACCAUAUUACAUUUCAUUCCUGUAAUUUUCUUCAAGUUAUGCUGUUUUAUUUCAACUGCUGAUAGAGAUAUUUUAACACUAUAUUCAUAAAGUAUGUGUUAUUUGAAUUAAUAUCGACGCAUCUAUCGUCCCAAUCACCGCCAGACUGUUUGUAUGAAAAACACACUUUUAUUUUGAAAAGACGGCGACAUCCUGUUGAAAAUACUUUCAUUUUGAAAAUAUGACGACAUCCUGUUGAAAAUACUUUUAUUUUGAAAAGACGAGGAUAUCCUGUUGAAAAUACUUUUAUUUUGAAAAGACGAGGAUAUCCUGUCGCUUAGCUUUUGUGCUUCAGUUCAGUUCGCUAUGUAUAGGAUUUCAGAAAACCAAUUCUGUGUCCAUUAAAUCGACGUUUUACCACCGCGUUAUCCGUUCGUCAUCUAUGAACACGAUUUUCCCGGUUGCUAACUGCUCUCGGUGAAACGGAUAUGAUGGUGAAAUGGCUCCCUCCGGUGAGUCUGGGGUGAAAUGAUCCUGUUAUAGUGAAAAUUGUGUCAUUUGCGGCAGUUUAAUGUUAUGACCUUGUGAUUUCUUUGUCACAGUCUGUCUCUGUAUGUGUGUGUGUGUGUGUGUGUGUGUGCUCCAUUAAACUAGCAAAUAAAAACCCUCUCCAUGUGUUUUAAACAACAGGUUUUUAUUUUUUAUCUCAGGUUCAAAUAUUGAGCAGCAAGCCUUUGACGGUAUUAAUACAUCGCUCGUGAUUGAUCCAGACAGCGCAGCCGCUGGUAAAACAAGAUCCAUCUCCAACAUUUUUUAUGAGAAAUCAAAAUUUUAGAGAGACUCUAUUUUAAAUGGUAAUAUAUGCCAUGAUAGUAACAUAUUACCGAAACAAAUAAUUUAUCAUACAUUUAAACAUGUAUUCAACACUUAUUUAUUAAGCUCAUUGAUCUUAUAAAACACUAUUCACUUAUUUUAAAGAAGUUAAUUAAUAUAUUGUAAUUACAUAUAUAACACACUGUAUUAAAUAAACAUUUAAUAUAGUUUUAGGUCAUAAUAAAUACGGCUUACAUUUUUCUGUGCAUAAUGAUGUCCAUUCCGUGAAUGAAAUGUUUCCAAUAAAACGCAUUUAGUAUAAGUUGAAAUAUUAACAAAACGUCCCAGAUCGUCCCAGGGUUAAACACCAGUGUGAAAUGAAUGUUUCAGACCCACUCAGAGGAGGGGGUAGUUACAGACCAGAAGAUCUGAGGUGUUAUUCUGUUAACCUUUUUUCAAACCGCAUGUUAU